UGGGCUCCUCAUCCGGGUGGAGGAUUGCCUGCCGUGCCACUCCAAAACUCAUCAGUACCACCAGCAUUAUCACCACAAAGUAAAGCAUGUCGAUCAUCUGCCAGACAUAAAGCAGGGUCCCAGGUACUUGUUGACCCCAAAUAUAUCCAGAACCCGGAUGUACCAGAAGAUGAUGUCCACGCAGUAAAUCACACGGCCAUAACCCAUCUUCCCUGGUUCGGACAUCAAGAUCUGCAAAAGGACAUCCAGAACAUACUCUAUAAACUAGUUUUGUGCACCAUUUUUUUCUCACAAACAUAGUUCGAGUUGUG
Molecule: long non-coding RNA, 311 nt
Organism: Triplophysa rosa
Lineage: Eukaryota; Metazoa; Chordata; Actinopteri; Cypriniformes; Nemacheilidae
Exons: 3
Source: RefSeq, a predicted model, not a curated record